CCUUGGCUUAUUGGCUACCACCAGGCGAGGCCUCCUUCUCGCGGAAGCUUCCCCCAACCACUUGUCCCCCUCUCUCUCCCUCUCUGCGCGCCGCCGCCUUCGCCAUGGCGGCCUCCUCGCCUCCUCUCUUUCCCUAACCCUAGAGCCAACGCGGUGGGCGGAACGUCCUCCAGAUCGCGAUCGCGAUCGCGAUCGCCCCGCAGCGGCGUCUCCACCCCCCUCGUCCGCCGGUUUCUCCGUGCCGCCUCUUCCGAGGUGGGAGAUUACACUUUUCCCAUAUAUAUAUAGUGGUUGGCAAAGGGCUCCUGGAGUCCUGGUUCUUAAAGAUCGAUAACAGCUUUCACCACAAAGUUCUCUGCAAAUUGCAUAAGAUCAAAUACAUGAUUCGUUAGUGCAUCCUUGCCAUCUGUUUUGAUACUUCUAUAUGCAAGUGAUCUGGUGUUCUUUGGUGAAUUCAUGUGUAACCACUGCUCCUUGAGGCAGUUGAAGGGGGUAUUGGACUAGAUCCAUCCUACACAUAACCCUCAUGUGCAAGGGUUCUGCUUGGAUAUGUAGUUUUUCUACACACCAUUGACAACUGAUAAGUAUAUCAGUAACCAUGUUUCCUCCUGCAAUCUAAUAUCGUUCUGUGUUCUGUCAUUUGUUGGUUAGUACUGUUUUUUUAGUAUUGACCUCAACUUAGUAUUAUCAUUAUCCAUGAUUUGGUCCCUAGGUGGUUUAAGGAGUAAGUAGCACAUUUACACCUAUCCUUGUACCUGAAUACAUUGGUUGUUUCCUCCUCCUGCAAUCUAAUAUCAUUAGGUCAUUUGUUGGUUAGUACUGUUUAUUUAGUAUUGACCUCAACUUAGUAUUAUCACUAUCCAUGAUUUGGUCCCUAGGUGAUUUAAGGAGUAAGUAGCACAUUUGCACCUAUCCUUGUACCUGAAUACAUUGGUUGCAAACUUCGCAGUGGUAACUCAAUAUAGAAGUUAGUUUACCUUUGCAUGUUAUAGUUUUUUGUGUCUGGAUCUCAGUUGACCUCUGGUUUUCUAGUGGAGUUUAGGCUACUGCAUCAGUAUCACUUAUUUAACUGGUAGUAUAAUUCAACCUUUUAGUUUUAUGUUUGUACAUUCUAGGAAUAGUAUGCCUUAGUUUUUAUGUUUAUACAUUCUAGGAAUAGUACGCACAUAGCGUAAUUUCCACAGUACCAUAAGAGAAUCGUCGAGAACGAAAUCCUCAACCUAGCAUGUCAUAAGUCAUUCUCUUUCAUGCACCUGUAAAUCCUUGUAUGUAUCGUGUGGCAAUUAUCUGUUGUCAUAUUUUUGACGUAAUGCCUUACUUUGCUUCUCUUGUAACUGAAUUGUUUGUUAUAAUGUACUCCCUCUGUCCCAAAAAAACAAAUCUAGUAUAAGAUGUGACGUCAGUUCAAAUUAGUAUUACUAGGAUGCGUCACAUCCUGUGUUUGUUUAUUUUGGGAGUUGUUCAUGUUUUUGUUUUGACUCUUGAACAUACUUGUUUCUGGUCAUUUAUUGCACUGGAUUUGUCAAGUUAACUAGUGACGCUGACAUCAAUAAUUUUUUUGAAGUUUUGAUGAAUUUGUUCAUUCCCUAUCCAACAUAAUAGAUAUUUGUGAGACCCAACAUAUGUGAAAACGUUACUGUUGUACUGCAAUUUUUUUGGAUCUACAGCAUAUAUUCAUCCAUUUACUUGGUGAUGUCUGGAAUACUGUUCUCAAACAGAAUUAUAGAUGCUUUCAUCAAAUUUGCUGUACCGAGGUAAUUAGUGUAGUCGUUAUUUUUAAGGGUUAUAUUUUUAAUGGGCGUGGGACUUCCAGAUUAUGCUUCCACUUGGUAUAACCGAUGGCAUAAAUCAAUAUAUAUGUUCUGCCGUAUUUUGCCAACUUCAUAUCGCCCGGAUAUAUAUGUUCUGCAGUAUUUUACCAAUUUCAUAUCUCCCGAACACUUCUGCUGUGUGCUAUAACGGCGUGUA
Long non-coding RNA from Oryza sativa Japonica Group (Japanese rice), 1968 nucleotides. RefSeq lists it as uncharacterized. The record is from RefSeq and is a predicted model, not a curated record. NCBI's taxonomy places the organism in Eukaryota, Viridiplantae, Streptophyta, Magnoliopsida, Poales, Poaceae.